CCCCCAUAGUUUUACAAGGAAGCUUUGUCUAUAGAACAUAGAAUUUGCAUGUCAGCAAGAAAUAGCUUUGAUAAAAUGUGUAUUUACUAAAAGCCUUGAAACCUAACCUUGAGAAACUAACCGUGCCAGCUACACUCUAAAUGGAUGGCUGCCAAAGCACCCCUCCCAUCGAGUGAACACCUCGUGCUAACAAGAUGGCGCCUACAUCUUGUGUCCACUCCCGUGUCAAGGAUGACAUCACCUCUUGAUAGGAGGGUACCUAACUAACCACUUAACA
Molecule: non-coding RNA, 277 nt
Organism: Pelobates cultripes (western spadefoot toad)
Lineage: Eukaryota; Metazoa; Chordata; Amphibia; Anura; Pelobatidae
Source: the annotation of a GenBank genome assembly